AUUGAACGCUGGCGGCAUGCUUUACACAUGCAAGUCGAACGGUAACAGGCCUUCGGGUGCUGACGAGUGGCGAACGGGUGAGUAAUGCAUCGGAACGUACCCAGAGGUGGGGGAUAUCGCAGCGAAAGCUGUGCUAAUACCGCAUGUGAUCUGAGGAUGAAAGCGGGGGACCGAGCAGCAAUGUUUGGCCUCGCGCCUUUGGAGCGGCCGAUGUCGGAUUAGCUAGUUGGUGGGGUAAAGGCCUACCAAGGCGACGAUCCGUAGCUGGUCUGAGAGGACGACCAGCAACACGGGGAGUGAGACACGGCCCGGACUCCUACGGGAGGCAGCAGUGGGGAAUGUUGGACAAUGGGCGAAAGCCUGAUCCAGCAAUGCCGCGUGCGGGAAGAAGGCCUUAGGGUUGUAAACCGCUUUUGGCAGGAACGAAACGGUGUCCGCUAAUACCGGGCGCUAAUGACGGUACCUGCAGAAUAAGCACCGGCUAACUACGUG
RNAcentral lists this ribosomal RNA (492 nucleotides) under uncultured bacterium. RNAcentral's name for it is "partial 16S ribosomal RNA". It matches the Rfam family "Bacterial small subunit ribosomal RNA", at positions 29 to 507 of the family's 1533-position model. The record is from RNAcentral.